RNAcentral lists this ribosomal RNA (460 nucleotides) under uncultured bacterium. Its description in RNAcentral is "partial 16S ribosomal RNA". It matches the Rfam family "Bacterial small subunit ribosomal RNA", at positions 338 to 795 of the family's 1533-position model. The record is from RNAcentral.
CCUACGGGAGGCAGCAGUGAGGAAUAUUGGUCAAUGGUCGCGAGCCUGAACCAGCCAAGCCGCGUGAGGGAGGACGGUCCUGAGUAUUGUAAACCUCUUUUGUCAGGGAACAAAGUCUGGCACGCGUCCCCUUCUGAGUGUACCUGAAGAAAAAGCAUCGGCUAACUCCGUGCCAGCAGCCGCGGUAAUACGGAGGAUGCGAGCGUUAUCCGGAUUUAUUGGGUUUAAAGGGGGCGGAGAGGGGUUGUUAAGUCAGCAGUGAAAGGACGGGGCUCAACCCCCGGAUGGCAGUUGAAACUGGCAGUCUUGAGUUGGAGAGAGGUAUGCGGAAUGCGUGGUGUAGUGGUGAAAUGCAUAGAUAUCACGCAGAACUCCGAUUGCGAAGGCAGCAUGCCGGCUCCACACUGACGCUGAGGCACGAAAGCGUGGGUAUCGAACAGGAUUAGAUACCCUUGUAGUC